CAGUAGCGUAUAUUAAAGUUGUUGCAGUUAAAAAGCUCGUAGUUGGAUUUCUGACUUCAGAUACCUGACCCUCCCUCGCUAGAGGUGUGUGUGCCGGAGUAUUUGUAUCAUCCUUUCAGUGAUCGGCUCUACCCUUAACCGGGUCGGAGCUGCUAGCUGGAUCUUUUACUUUGAAGAAAUUGGAGUGUUUAAAGCAGGCUUACGCCAGAACAUAUUAGCAUGGAAUAAUAAUUUAGGACUUUUGUUCUAUUUUGUUGGUUUCUAGGACGAAAGUAAUGAUUGAUAGGGAUAGUUGGGGGUGCUAGUAUUCGGCGGCCAGAGGUGAAAUUCUUUGAUCCGCUGAAGACUAACUUAUGCGAAAGCAUUUGCCAAGGAUGUUUUCAUUAAUCAAGAACGAAAGUUAGGGGAUCAAAGACGAUCAGAUACCGU
Molecule: ribosomal RNA, 429 nt
Filed under: uncultured eukaryote
Lineage: Eukaryota
Description: SSU rRNA
Rfam family: Eukaryotic small subunit ribosomal RNA
Source: RNAcentral